Non-coding RNA from Maylandia zebra (zebra mbuna), 947 nucleotides. The record is from RefSeq and is a predicted model, not a curated record. Lineage: Eukaryota; Metazoa; Chordata; Actinopteri; Cichliformes; Cichlidae.
CCCGCCUGCGACCCUGAAAUGGAUAUGUGGAAAGCAUGGAUGGCUGGCUCUUGCAAAACAAAUUGAAAUGAUGUGGUUCUGUUGAUUCAUCGAGCCUUGACCUCCAGCUCGCACUAGGGCAGUUUGCAGCGGAGUCUGAAGGAGCUGGGACGGGAAUUAGCACCUUCAAGUAUGAAUCCAUAGUUCUCAGCUAGAAAAAAAGGGUACCAAAUGAGUCCACUGAAGCCUCCAUAAUGGCCAGAAGAAGAAUCCCACUGUUUGAUGGUUCAGUAUGAAGCAUGAGAGCUCACGGUGGGAUUCACCUCAGCUGUACACCUCAUGAAACGCCCAGGAGAGGCAAUCCAAUCAUUCUGGAGCUGCAGGACCCGGCUAUCCGGCAGACGCUCGGGGUCCUUGAAGUGCAGAAAGGCCUUCCCAUCGCUGUGCUCCCCUGCCUCCCAGCAGGUCUGCAAAGUGAAUUUACUGCCACUGUCAAAACUUCUGUCAGUUCUCAAAGGGAGAGAGGAGACGGAGACAGAGAGGGAGCGCGAGAGAGCAAUAUGGGACUUUUUUUUCCCUCCCCUUCCACAGAUGCCCGGACAUGCAGUCUUCAACCCAGAGGGCCUUUGAAAUCAUCUCGCUCGUUAAUAGUUGUCUCAUGGAAGCACGGAGAGAAGGGAAGCUUGACAGAGUUUGAAUGGAGACACCAAAGCUCAGUUUUGUCAAGUACUGAAAUCCUCAUUUUCACCUCACUGUUUCGUAAAAAACUGCUGCAAUUCCCUGCCAAUGUUUUUCUCUCUUCUUUUUUUUUUCUUUGCACAUUCAAGUAAAGUUAUGAGUGGGUUGCUGAGCAUGACUUCAGUGGCUGAUGAGAAAUGCAGUCUAUUCCACUGGAAAUUAAAUAAUACAAAUUUGACUUGUGGUGUGGUGUAAAGAAAGCAUAGAUUUAUUAGGCUUCAGAGGUUAUU